Non-coding RNA from Oncorhynchus tshawytscha (Chinook salmon), 482 nucleotides. NCBI's taxonomy places the organism in Eukaryota, Metazoa, Chordata, Actinopteri, Salmoniformes, Salmonidae. The record is from the annotation of a RefSeq genome assembly.
UGUGAGGUUAACACUUCAUGACUGAGAGCUGUCCUUCAUGACAACAGAACCCACAACAACCAUGACUUUUAUCACCAUCUUCAUCUGGACACUUGCCCUCUGUCUCCAAGAGUCAAGAGGCCAGGUCACAGUGACCCAGACUCCUGCAGUGAAAGCUGUUUCAGUGGGUCACUCAGUCAGUCUCAGCUGUAAAACCAGCAGUGCUGUACACAUUAACAGCAAUAGACACUAUUUGCACUGGUACCAACAGAAACCUGGAGGAGCUCCUAAACUCCUAAUAUACUGGGCUAAAACCCUUCAGUCUGGGAUUCCAUCUAGAUUCAGUGGCAGUGGAUCUGGGAGUGACUUCACUCUGACCAUCAGUGGAGUCCAGGCUGAAGAUGCAGGAGAUUACUACUGUCAGAGUUUCCACCUUCCCAACAGUGUCUGGGUGUUCACACAGUGAUACAGAGCCGUACAAAAACCUCCCUCAGUCAGACUGC